AGAACGAACGCUGGCGGCAGGCUUAACACAUGCAAGUCGAGCGCCCCGCAAGGGGAGCGGCAGACGGGUGAGUAACGCGUGGGAACAUACCCUCCGGUUCGGAAUAGCUCAGGGAAACUUGGAUUAAUACCGGAUACGGCCUAGCGGCGAAAGAUUCAUCGCCGGAGGAUUGGCCCGCGUUCGAUUAGCUAGUUGGUGAGGUAACGGCUCACCAAGGCGACGAUCGAUAGCUGGUCUGAGAGGAUGAUCAGCCACAUUGGGACUGAGACACGGCCCAAACUUCUACGGGAGGCAGCAGUGGGGAAUAUUGGACAAUGGGCGCAAGCCUGAUCCAGCCAUGCCGCGUGAGUGAUGACGGCCUUAGGGUUGUAAAGCUCUUUCGCUAGGGACGAUAAUGACGGUACCUAGACAAGAAGCCCCGGCUAACUUCGUGCCAGCAGCCGC
Molecule: ribosomal RNA, 444 nt
Filed under: uncultured bacterium
Lineage: Bacteria
Description: SSU rRNA
Rfam family: Bacterial small subunit ribosomal RNA
Source: RNAcentral